GACGAACGCUGGCGGCGUGCUUAACACAUGCAAGUCGAACGGAAAGGCCCUGCUUUUGUGGGGUGCUCGAGUGGCGAACGGGUGAGUAACACGUGAGUAACCUGCCCUUGACUUUGGGAUAACUUCAGGAAACUGGGGCUAAUACCGGAUAGGAGCUCCUGCUGCAUGGUGGUGGUUGGAAAGUUUCGGCGGUUGGGGAUGGACUGGCGGGUUAUCAGCUUGUUGGUGGGGUAGUGGCUUAACAAGGCUUUGACGGGUAGCCGGCCUGAGAGGGUGACCGGCCCCAUUGGGACUGAGAUACGGCCCAGACUCCUACGGGAGGCAGCAGUGGGGAAUAGUGCACAAUGGGCGGAAGCCUGAUGCAGCAACGCCGCGUGCGGUAUGACGGCCUUCGGGUUGUAAACCGCUUUCGCCUGUGACGAAGCGUGAGUGACGGUAAUGGGUAAAGAAGCACCGGCUAACUACGUG
Molecule: ribosomal RNA, 468 nt
Filed under: uncultured bacterium
Lineage: Bacteria
Description: partial 16S ribosomal RNA
Rfam family: Bacterial small subunit ribosomal RNA
Source: RNAcentral